AGCGAACGCUGGCGGCAGGCUUAACACAUGCAAGUCGAGCGGGCCCUUCGGGGUCAGCGGCGGACGGGUGAGUAACGCGUGGGAACGUGCCUUCUGGUCUGGAAUAACCCUGGGAAACUAGGGCUAAUACCGGAUACGCCCUUUUGGGGAAAGGUUUACUGCCGGAAGAUCGGCCCGCGUCUGAUUAGCUAGUUGGUGGGGUAACGGCCUACCAAGGCGACGAUCAGUAGCUGGUCUGAGAGGAUGAUCAGCCACACUGGGACUGAGACACGGCCCAGACUCCUACGGGAGGAAGCAGUGGGGAAUAGUUGACAAUGGGCGCAAGCCUGAUCCAGCCAUGCCGCGUGAGUGAUGAAGGCCUUAGGGUUGUAAAGCUCUUUUAUCCGGGACGAUAAUGACGGUACCGGAGGAAUAAGCCCCGGCUAACUUCGUGCCAGCCGCCGCCGUAA
RNAcentral lists this ribosomal RNA (449 nucleotides) under uncultured bacterium. RNAcentral's name for it is "partial 16S ribosomal RNA". It matches the Rfam family "Bacterial small subunit ribosomal RNA", at positions 29 to 523 of the family's 1533-position model. The record is from RNAcentral.